Molecule: ribosomal RNA, 410 nt
Filed under: uncultured microorganism
Description: bacterial SSU rRNA
Rfam family: Bacterial small subunit ribosomal RNA
Source: RNAcentral
CAGCCGCCGCGGUAAUACGUAGGGGGCGAGCGUUGUCCGGAAUUAUUGGGCGUAAAGCGCGCGCAGGCGGUCCCUUAAGUCUGAUGUGAAAGCCCACGGCUCAACCGUGGAGGGUCAUUGGAAACUGGGGGACUUGAGUGCAGAAGAGGAGAGCGGAAUUCCACGUGUAGCGGUGAAAUGCGUAGAGAUGUGGAGGAACACCAGUGGCGAAGGCGGAUCUCUGGUCUGUAACUGACGCUGAGGCGCGAAAGCCUGGGGAGCAAACAGGAUUAGAUACCCUGGUAGUCCACGCCGUAAACGAUGAGUGCUAAGUGUUAGAGGGGUUAAACCCUUUAGUGCUGUAGCUAACGCGUUAAGCACUCCGCCUGGGGAGUACGGCCGCAAGGCUGAAACUUAAAGGAAUUGGCGGG